RNAcentral lists this ribosomal RNA (214 nucleotides) under uncultured Lactobacillus sp. RNAcentral describes it as "partial 16S ribosomal RNA". It matches the Rfam family "Bacterial small subunit ribosomal RNA", at positions 148 to 355 of the family's 1533-position model. The record is from RNAcentral. Lineage: Bacteria; Bacillati; Bacillota; Bacilli; Lactobacillales; Lactobacillaceae.
ACCUAGGAAACAGAUGCUAAUACCGGAUACAACAGAUGAUGCCUAUCAACUGUUUAAAAGAUGGUUCUGCUAUCACUCUUGGAUGGACCUGCGGUGCAUUAGCUAGUUGGUAGGGUAACGGCCUACCAAGGCGAUGAUGCAUAGCCGAGUUGAGAGACUGAUCGGCCACAUUGGGACUGAGACACGGCCCAAACUCCUACGGGAGGCAGCAGCA